AUACGUAGGGGGCUAGCGUUAUCCGGAAUUACUGGGCGUAAAGGGUGCGUAGGUGGUUUCUUCAGUCAGAAGUGAAAGGCUACGGCUCCACCGUAGUAAGCUUUUGAAACUAAGAGACUUGAGUGCAGGAGAGGAGAGUAGAAUUCCUAGUGUAGCGGGGAAAUGCGUAGAUAUUAGGAGGAAUACCAGUUGCGAAGGCGGCUCUCUGGACUGUAACUGACACUGAGGCACGAAAGCGUGGGGAGCAAACAGGAUUAGAUACCCUGGUAGUCCACGCCGUAAACGAUGAGUACUAGCUGUCGGGGGUUACCCCCCUCGGUGGCGCAGCUAACGCAUUAAGUACUCCGCCUGGGAAGUACGCUCGCAAGAGUGAAACUCAAAUGAAUUGGCGGGG
RNAcentral lists this ribosomal RNA (394 nucleotides) under uncultured bacterium. Its description in RNAcentral is "partial 16S ribosomal RNA". It matches the Rfam family "Bacterial small subunit ribosomal RNA", at positions 523 to 918 of the family's 1533-position model. The record is from RNAcentral.